Molecule: transfer RNA, 76 nt
Filed under: Firmicutes bacterium ADurb.Bin182
Lineage: Bacteria; Bacillati; Bacillota
Also listed under: 13 other names
Description: tRNA-Thr
Rfam family: tRNA
About the family: Transfer RNA (tRNA) molecules are approximately 80 nucleotides in length. Their secondary structure includes four short double-helical elements and three loops (D, anti-codon, and T loops).
Source: RNAcentral
GCUGAUGUAGCUCAGUCGGUAGAGCACCUCAUUGGUAAUGAGGAGGUAGGCAGUUCGAAUCUGCUCAUCAGCUCCA